This 233-nucleotide unclassified non-coding RNA is filed under the name plant metagenome. RNAcentral describes it as "partial contains small subunit ribosomal RNA, internal transcribed spacer 1, and 5.8S ribosomal RNA". The record is from RNAcentral.
UUUCCGUAGGUGAACCUGCGGAAGGAUCAUUAAUGAGUGAGGGCCUUCGGGUCCAACCUCCCACCCGUGUCUAUCGUACCAUGUUGCUUCUGCAGGCCCGCCUCACGGCCGCCGGGGGCUUCUCGCCCCGGGCCCGCGCCUGCCGAAGACCCUCUGAACGCUGUCUGAAGAUUGCAGUCUGUGUGAAACACAAAAAUUAUUUAAAACUUUCAACAACGGAUCUCUUGGUUCCG